AGUCUACAGUCAGAGGCGACCAAUCAAAAGGCGCAACUGUCUACAGUCACUGUAGACUUUUGCACCACUGUAGACACGACCUCUGCGAAUUCCCCAAAUGUGGGAAUCUCGACUGCAUAAUUUCUGGUAGUGGGGGACUGCGUUCGCGCUCUCCCCUC
Molecule: small nuclear RNA, 158 nt
Organism: Parambassis ranga (Indian glassy fish)
Lineage: Eukaryota; Metazoa; Chordata; Actinopteri; Ambassidae
Gene: U1
Rfam family: U1 spliceosomal RNA
About the family: U1 is a small nuclear RNA (snRNA) component of the spliceosome (involved in pre-mRNA splicing). Its 5' end forms complementary base pairs with the 5' splice junction, thus defining the 5' donor site of an intron. There are significant differences in sequence and secondary structure between metazoan and yeast U1 snRNAs, the latter being much longer (568 nucleotides as compared to 164 nucleotides in human).
Source: Ensembl